RNAcentral lists this ribosomal RNA (405 nucleotides) under uncultured bacterium. Its description in RNAcentral is "bacterial SSU rRNA". It matches the Rfam family "Bacterial small subunit ribosomal RNA", at positions 356 to 773 of the family's 1533-position model. The record is from RNAcentral.
GGGGAAUAUUGGACAAUGGGCGAAAGCCUGAUCCAGCAACGCCGCGUGAGGGAUGACGGCCUUCGGGUUGUAAACCUCUUUCAGCAGGGACGAAGCGAAAGUGACGGUACCUGCAGAAGAAGGACCGGCCAACUACGUGCCAGCAGCCGCGGUAAUACGUAGGGUCCGAGCGUUGUCCGGAAUUAUUGGGCGUAAAGGGCUCGUAGGCGGUUUGUCGCGUCGGGAGUGAAAACUCAGGGCUCAACCCUGAGCGUGCUUCCGAUACGGGCAGACUAGAGGUAUGCAGGGGAGAACGGAAUUCCUGGUGUAGCGGUGGAAUGCGCAGAUAUCAGGAGGAACACCGGUGGCGAAGGCGGUUCUCUGGGCAUUACCUGACGCUGAGGAGCGAAAGCAUGGGGAGCGAAC